CACUCUAGAGAGACUGCCAGGGAUAACCUGGAGGAAGGUGGGGAUGACGUCAAAUCAUCAUGCCCCUUAUGCUUAGGGCUACACACGUGCUACAAUGGGUAGUACAGAGGGUUGCCAAGCCGUAAGGUGGAGCUAAUCCCUUAAAGCUACUCUCAGUUCGGAUUGUAGGCUGAAACUCGCCUACAUGAAGCUGGAGUUACUAGUAAUCGCAGAUCAGAAUGCUGCGGUGAAUGCGUUCCCGGGUCUUGUACACAC
Molecule: ribosomal RNA, 255 nt
Filed under: Clostridioides difficile
Lineage: Bacteria; Bacillati; Bacillota; Clostridia; Peptostreptococcales; Peptostreptococcaceae
Description: partial 16S ribosomal RNA
Rfam family: Bacterial small subunit ribosomal RNA
Source: RNAcentral